GACGAACGCUGGCGGCGUGCCUAAUACAUGCAAGUAGAACGCACAGUUUAUACCGUAGCUUGCUACACCAUACACUGUGAGUUGCGAACGGGUGAGUAACGCGUAGGUAACCUGCCUGGUAGCGGGGGAUAACUAUUGGAAACGAUAGCUAAUACCGCAUAAUAUUAAUUAUUGCAUGAUAAUUGAUUGAAAGAUGCAAUUGCAUCACUACCAGAUGGACCUGCGUUGUAUUAGCUAGUAGGUGAGGUAACGGCUCACCUAGGCGACGAUACAUAGCCGACCUGGGAGGGUGGACGGCCACACUGGGACUGAGACACGGCCCAGACUCCUACGGGAGGCAGCAGUAGGGAAUCUUCGGCAAUGGACGAAAGUCUGACCGAGCAACGCCGCGUGAGUGAAGAAGGUUUUCGGAUCGUAAAGCUCUGUUGUAAGAGAAGAACGGGUGUGAGAGUGGAAAGUUCGCACUGUGACGGUAUCUUACCAGAAAGGGACGGCUAACUACGUG
This 505-nucleotide ribosomal RNA is filed under the name uncultured bacterium. Its description in RNAcentral is "partial 16S ribosomal RNA". It matches the Rfam family "Bacterial small subunit ribosomal RNA", at positions 28 to 507 of the family's 1533-position model. The record is from RNAcentral.